UACGUAGGUGGCAAGCGUUGUCCGGAAUUACUGGGUGUAAAGCGCGUGUAGGCGGGAGGCCAAGUCUGCUGUGAAAUCCCUCGGCUUAACCGGGGAACUGCGUCUGAUACUGGAUGGCUUGAGUGUGGCAGAGGGAGGUAGAAUUCCACGUGUAGCAGUGAAAUGCGUAGAGAUGUGGAGGAAUACCGAUGGCGAAGGCAGCCUCCUGGGCCAACACUGACGCUCAUGCACGAAAGCGUGGGGAGCAAACAGG
RNAcentral lists this ribosomal RNA (253 nucleotides) under uncultured bacterium. RNAcentral's name for it is "partial 16S ribosomal RNA". It matches the Rfam family "Bacterial small subunit ribosomal RNA", at positions 524 to 776 of the family's 1533-position model. The record is from RNAcentral.